CUUCCCGUGGUGUAGUUGGCAACGCGCCUGCCUAUUGAGAAGGAGUCGUGAGUUCGAGUCUCACCGAGAGGA
This is a non-coding RNA of Aedes albopictus (Asian tiger mosquito), 72 nucleotides long. The record is from Rfam. Lineage: Eukaryota; Metazoa; Arthropoda; Insecta; Diptera; Culicidae.